UACGUAGGGUCCGAGCGUUGUCCGGAAUUAUUGGGUGUAAAGGGCUCGUAGGCGGUUUGUCACGUCGGGCGUGAAAACUCAGGGCUCAACCCUGAGCGUGCGACCGAUACGGGCAGACUAGAGGUAUGCGGGGGAGAACGGAAUUCAUGGUGUAGCGGUGGAAUGCACAGAUAUCAGGAGGAACACCGGUGGCGAAGGCGGUUCUCUGGGCAUUACCUGACGCUGAGGAGCGAAAGCAUGGGGAGCGAACAGG
Molecule: ribosomal RNA, 253 nt
Filed under: uncultured bacterium
Lineage: Bacteria
Description: partial 16S ribosomal RNA
Rfam family: Bacterial small subunit ribosomal RNA
Source: RNAcentral